This 420-nucleotide ribosomal RNA is filed under the name Triticum aestivum (bread wheat). RNAcentral's name for it is "partial small subunit ribosomal RNA". Lineage: Eukaryota; Viridiplantae; Streptophyta; Magnoliopsida; Poales; Poaceae. The record is from RNAcentral.
AUGGCCUCUAGCACGAGGGGAGAAACGACCAUGAAGCUCGGCACCCAACUCGACCUCGAAGUUGUCAACAGGCACAACCAAAGGACGCAAUGCAUGAUCAGACCGCAACACAGGUGGCGCCAUGGAGCGCUCACCAAGUGCAGCCUCAACACGGACCAUGAAGGUCUCCAUCCGCAACAUCCAACCUUGCAUGGAGUCAAUGACAUCACGCAGAGGCUGAACCGUCUCCUGAAGCUAGAGGGAAGUCAUACCAAGGAGCUCAGAGCGCAGCAGCUUGGCCUGGUGCUCCAAGGCAGGUCGCACUGGGAAAUCCGCCGAGGCCAUAGAACCAGUAGGACCAGCAACGAUCGAUGCCCAAGAAUCAUGGCAAAAUGUCUUCGAGAGGUGCGAGGCUUCUUUCUGGACCUUGCGAGGAGCUAG